Molecule: long non-coding RNA, 1673 nt
Filed under: Triticum aestivum (bread wheat)
Lineage: Eukaryota; Viridiplantae; Streptophyta; Magnoliopsida; Poales; Poaceae
Description: long non-coding RNA (TAES_LNC011634)
Source: RNAcentral
UCGGAGGGAAUAACAAAGAAGGCAUCACAAGAACACAAAACGGUUGACACAAAAUCAAUGGAGUAUACUGCAAGAACUUGUACUCGAUUCGCUGAAAAUGUUUUUAAUCACAAUGCAUGCACUUCCAGUUUGAAGUUGCUUAUGACAAGACGCGGAGGAACGUAACAGUGGACUAGACAGUUCAUUGCUGCCUUCCGACACAAAAUAAACCAGCCAUCAAAUAGACAUCAACUCCAGGUAGCCCAUCAGUAGAAGAAAAACGGAGAGCACCAUCCUGAAUCAACCGUAGAUAAGCUCUCCUGCACAACAUAGAUAAAGGUGGUGAGGACAAUUGAGGGGUGCAGAAGACAUCUCAUGCCAAAAAAAACAAUGCUUAUAUUGCACAUGUUUACAAAGACUAUAUUGCACAUGUUUACAGCUCAAUAGUGUCGCAUAACAUAUAACUGCUGUAGUACACACAAUAUCACUUAACGUAACAUCAGGUUUAGCCUUCCACUGUUUUUGUUGGUAUCAAUACGUAAUAAUUAUAUUUAUCAAUCUUCUUAGACGGGUACAUAGGUCUUAGGCUCUUAGCAUACAGAAUGUAAGUCACACUUUUGUUCCUACACAAUUUAGUUGUAAGAAAGGUUCUGUCAAAACUAUCACGGAAUUUAACUACUUUUAAGUCGUUGUCACUUCCACAGGGAGCAAAACGACUUUCACAUGUCAAUGAAUAAUGAUUCCAUUCCUCAAAAGUGUCAAACUCUGCAAAAGGCCUUCAAAAGCACUUAAAUCCAUAAUAUGCACAUUUGAAGUUCAACAGAACAUUAAACCAGUUUGCUACACCAUUUUUCUGACAUAUCAUCUGAUAACCAUUGACCUAACCUACUAACACAAAAGGUGAAUAUAGCUAACAGAUCUUACACCGCUAUUUGGAAGUAUCAUAUGGUGCUAUGCAACUUCAUAAAUGCACAAAAUGGUGAUACAAAAAGAUGGCCUGCAGUAACUUGAAGGUUGAUACAACUGUCACCGCAGUCCCAAACUAUGCAUAGCCAACGCAAUACACAGUGCAAGCUAUAAUCACAAAUGAUACCCAAACAAAUGUGUCAUUCAACAGUUUCCUUUGCCAUUCGAGAACUAUAACAGAAAAGUGCAAGCCAUAGAAGUGGUCAAACUUUGUAAAACUCAAGGAUGUCUUGAGAUUUUGCAUCACUGGCAGAAUGAAAUGGGCGUGAAACAGAAAACACCAAGAUCAUUCAGAUCCUCAUACAGUUCCACUAUUGGCGGUCAUAUAGACCAAUCAAUUGCCACUACGCAAGUGAUUCAAAUGCACAAAUGCCCCCACAAUAUUGUUCCCGACAACCAGAAUUCAUACAAAACCUCGUCCAAAUGACCAAACAAGUUCACAGACCCCGCCAGAACAUUUUGCAUCUAAUCGUACCGCACACCACGUACAUGCGACCUUACCUAAAUUAAACCAUACGACAAUCGUCAAGCAGACGGGGUUCAAACCCCCGAAAAGCAUCUCAUCGCACCACCGGAUCGGAUCAGGAAACAGAAAUGAUACAAUAGAACCCUCACCUGCGCGGGGCGGAUCCGGAUCUAGUGGCCGCCGUGCUUCUCGAGGUGCUCGAGGUGGCGGCGCUCCUGGGGCAGGCCCACGAGGUACGAGAAGGCCAUGCCGCCGAAGCAGA